This is a long non-coding RNA of Lytechinus pictus (painted urchin), 927 nucleotides long. RefSeq lists it as uncharacterized. The record is from RefSeq and is a predicted model, not a curated record. The transcript has 2 exons. Lineage: Eukaryota; Metazoa; Echinodermata; Echinoidea; Temnopleuroida; Toxopneustidae.
AAUCAUGGGUGGAGGAUAUGUAGAUGAAUCCCAGUUCGCCCACUACACAGGGAUCAAGAAGUGGUUCAAUGCGGACACAACAUUCGGCAAGAGGAAUUGUGUAGUUGCCACAUAUGCGGCCACCUUUUUCCUUGUAUGGUAUGUCAGGAGAAGGAUGAACAAGAACAAGGCUAUAGCAUCAGCUGCAGCAGGGGAUAUCAGCAAAUAGAAAGUGCAGCGGAUUUAAGGUGCAUGUAUCAUAGAAUGGACUGUACAUCCCCAUUGGAUAUAUAAUAGGAUAAAUAUAUUGUUGAUUGAGUGAACUUUGACCUUCUCCACUGUCUCAUACCGCUGACCUAAAGACGAUCACCCCACGAUCAUCCCCAAAGAUGUCUUCACCUCGGACACUCUGUUUUGACGCCCUCUUGUGACUACAGCAUGGCAUGCCCGGCUCUCCACACACCUCAGUCCUACAUUUGCCUCAUGGGAUACAUUUUCAUGGAUAUGAUCAGGCCACCAUGACAAUUCUGUCAAGGAAAGAGCAAGGUGGAAUAUGUAUUACCCGGUAGUCAUUUUGGCACAUGUACAUGUUCAAUGUAAACAAAAACACUAAAAAAUUAAUGGAUAUAAUCACAAAUACAUGCAAGGAUUUGAUGAUCAUUUGUUGACCGAUUGUACAAUAGGGGUAUAUGCCAUGGCACAAUGCCUGUUAACAAAUGUGAUGGCAUGGUUCUCACUGAGUUGAGCUUACAUAUUCGUAAUAUUGAAAAAAAGAAGGAAAUUUUAUCACUACCACAUGUAUUUGAAGAAUUUUAGAUAUCACCCUCCACAUACAUUUAAAAAGAAAAUUAACAAAUAAGUGUAUUUUGUAUUCUGUUUGCUCUUUUCAAAUGUGUAUUGGAGUUUGUUGAAAACUGAAGAAAAAAAAUGCUAUUUGAAUACUGAAAA